AGAGUUUGAUCCUGGCUCAGAACGAACGCUGGCGGCACGCCUAACACAUGCAAGUCGAGCGCCCAGCAAUGGGAGCGGCGGACGGGUGAGUAACACGUGGGAACAUGCCUUUCGGUUCGGAACAACUCAGGGAAACUUGAGCUAAUCCCGGAUACGCCCUAACGGGGAAAGAUUUAUCGCCGAAAGAUUGGCCCGCGUAAGAUUAGCUAGUUGGUGAGGUAAUGGCUCACCAAGGCAACGAUCUUUAGCUGGUUUGAGAGAACGACCAGCCACAUUGGGACUGAGACACGGCCCAAACUCCUACGGGAGGCAGCAGUGGGGAAUCUUGGACAAUGGGGGAAACCCUGAUCCAGCGAUGCCGCGUGAGUGAUGAAGGCCUUCGGGUUGUAAAACUCUUUCGACGGGGACGAUAAUGACGGUACCCGUAGAAGAAGCUCCGGCUAACUUCGUGCCAGCAGCCGCGGUAAUACGAAGGGGGCUAGCGUUGUUCGGAAUUACUGGGCGUAAAGCGUGCGCAGGCGGCUUCUCAAGUCAGGGGUGAAAGCCCAGAGCUCAACUCUGGAACUGCCCUUGAAACUGUGAAGCUUGAGUACGAGAGAGGUGAGUGGAAUUCCCAGUGUAGAGGUGAAAUUCGUAGAUAUUGGGAAGAACACCGGUGGCGAAGGCGGCUCACUGGCUCGUAACUGACGCUCAUGCACGACAGCGUGGGGAUCAAACAGGAUUAGAUACCCUAGUAGUCC
Molecule: ribosomal RNA, 740 nt
Filed under: uncultured bacterium
Lineage: Bacteria
Description: bacterial SSU rRNA
Rfam family: Bacterial small subunit ribosomal RNA
Source: RNAcentral